CCUACGGGUGGCAGCAGUGGGGAAUAUUGCACAAUGGGCGAAAGCCUGAUGCAGCAACGCCGCGUGAGGGAUGAAGGCCUUCGGGUUGUAAACCUCUUUUAGUAGGGAAGAAGCGAAAGUGACGGUACCUACAGAAAAAGCACCGGCUAACUACGUGCCAGCAGCCGCGGUAAUACGUAGGGUGCAAGCGUUGUCCGGAAUUAUUGGGCGUAAAGAGCUCGUAGGCGGUUUGUCGCGUCUGCUGUGAAAACCUGAGGCUCAACCUCAGACCUGCAGUGGGUACGGGCAAGCUAGAGUGCGGUAGGGGAGAUGGGAAUUCCUGGUGUAGCGGUGGAAUGCGCAGAUAUCAGGAGGAACACCGAUGGCGAAGGCACAUCUCUGGGCCGUAACUGACGCUGAGGAGCGAAAGCGUGGGGAGCGAACAGGAUUAGAUACCCUUGUAGUC
Molecule: ribosomal RNA, 445 nt
Filed under: uncultured bacterium
Lineage: Bacteria
Description: bacterial SSU rRNA
Rfam family: Bacterial small subunit ribosomal RNA
Source: RNAcentral